UACGUAGGCAGCGAGCGUUGUUCGGAGUUACUGGGCGUAAAGGGUGUGUAGGCGGUUGUUUAAGUUUGGUGUGAAAUCUCCCGGCCCAACUGGGAGGGUGCGCCGAAUACUGAAUGACUUGGAGUGCGGGAGAGGAGAGUGGAAUUCCUGGUGUAGCGGUGAAAUGCGUAGAUAUCAGGAGGAACACCGGUGGUGUAGACGGCUCUCUGGACCGUAACUGACGCUGAGACACGAAAGCGUGGGUAGCAAACGGG
RNAcentral lists this ribosomal RNA (254 nucleotides) under uncultured bacterium. RNAcentral describes it as "partial 16S ribosomal RNA". It matches the Rfam family "Bacterial small subunit ribosomal RNA", at positions 524 to 776 of the family's 1533-position model. The record is from RNAcentral.